GUUAGCCACAACCUCAUGAUCAGGCUGGUGAGUUUUUCUAUUCAGCUCAAAGAAGCGCUGUAGCACAAGAGGGGCAAUUGGAAGCAAAUCAGUUUGGUCAGAAUUCACCGGAGAGUCCUUCCUUGGAGCAGGAUUCUCAAUCGGCAGCUGAAAGAUUAGUGAGACAGACUGAAUUCUGAACAUGUAUCAUCUGUUCCAUGUGAGAGAAAUCGCAUGUCGAUAUCAUCUUGAAAUAAUCACAGCUGGGGGGACGAGGUUGGUAGCUGAGGGUGAUGUGCAGAGCGGGAGGAAGGAGGUGUGAGGCUUGGAACUCUCCUUGUGAAGUGCUCAGGGACAGCGGUGAGGAGCAUGGCAGGUGUCCAACCUGACCUCCUCGGCAAUAGCAACAAGGGUGGCCGCGGCGACAAGGGAGGAGACGACAACCAGCAGAGCAAUGAGAUCGCUAAGUCUCUGAUCCCGUCACUUCCUGCUCGAUUCGCUUGGCUCCUGUGCUGAUUUCUCUUUGGUUUCCCAGGUUUGUUGUGGUUGCAGAAUGGCGCAGAGCAAUUGGGAAGCGGACUAUGGACAUGAUGCGUGAUGUACACAUCCAUGACUAUUUGCUCAAGUGAAACAUCCAAACGGCCAACCUGUUCAUGGUGGAGGGGGCCAUGCCUGCUAAGUCCUCCAAUUCAUGCUCAGGCUGGCGGCUGGGGCGAGCUGACCAUGAUGCUCUGCGAAGGCAAGUUCUCCAUGGAAUUCACACAACAUUCCAGCGUUCUUGUUGGCAGGUCUCUGCUCUUCUCCAUGUCCACGGGGACAGUGUGUCGAUCGUGGAGCAUGACCUGGCAAGUUGCGACCUGACUCUGCUCGGCCAACCAGACAAGCACUAUAAGCACAGAUGCUGUCAAGGAUGGGGAUUUUUGUCAACGCCUUUGAAUGCGUCAGCCACAACCUCAAGAUCAGGGCUCCUUGUUAUGGAGAAGGUGCUCUCGAGGGUGUAGCACACUCAACAAACAUGGAUGUGCCUUGCUACCCAAAGAUUCUCCUAGUGAUGUUCCUAAGAGGGCACCAAAUGAAGAAUCGGCGAAGGGUACAACCAGCAAAGAUGAUGCUGGGAACCUACGACCUCUGAUAGCAACGUUGAUGGUGCUUCACCUUCAGAGAAGGCUGGUGAGUUUUUCUAUUCAGCUCAAAGAAGCGCUGUAGCACAAGAGAGGCAAUUGGUAGCAAAUCAGUCUGGUCAGAAUUCACCGGAGAGUCCUUCCUUAGAGCAGGAUUCUCAAUCGGCAGCUGAAAGAUUAGUGAGACUGACUGAUGCUGAACAUGUACCAUCUGUUCCAUGCGAGAGAAAUAGCAUGUCGAUAUCAUCUUGAAAUAAUCACAGCUGGGGGGACGAGGUUGGUAGCUGAGGGUGAUGUGCAGAGCGGGAGGAAGGAGGUGUGAGGCUUGGAACUCUCCUUGUGAAGUGCUCAGGGACAGCGGUGAGGAGCAUGGCAGGUGUCCAACUUGACCUCCUCGGCCACAGCAACAACAAGGGUGGCCGUGGCGACAAGGGAGGAGACAACAACCAGCAGAGCAAUGAGAUCGCUAAGUCUCUGAUCCCGCCACUUCCUGCUCGAUUCGCUUGGCUCCUGCGCUGAUUUCUCUUUGUUUUCCCAGGUUUGUUGUGGUUGCAGAAUGGCGCAGAGCAACUGGGAAGCGGACUACGUCUACGGACAUGAUGCGUGAUGUACACAUCCAUCACUACUAUUUGCUCAAGUGGAUCAUCCAAACGGCCAACCUGUUCAUGGUGGAGGGGGCGAUGCCUGCUAAGUCCUCCAAUUCGUAAAUGCUCAGGUGCAACCUGGAAUGAUUGGGUUUAUGAGAUUGGGUGGCAGUAUAAUUCUCAUGCUGACGACAAUUAUUUUUUUGACGAGGAUUCAGUGGUUGUCUGGCAUGUGGUAGUUCAACUAGGAACUCAUCUGUAUAUACCAAAGCAAGGCGGGAGCUUUCAUCUGUAUAUACCAAAGCAAGGCGGGAGAAGAAGCAGAUUGAUUGAUGAAGGAAACACAUGAAAAAGAGGAAAAGAGCAGCUAAAUGAUUGAUGGGGCCUGUGACCUAUCCCUGUCGGUUCUCCUUUCCGCAAAUUAAACCAAUAAUCGAUAUUGUCAGUUUGAGAGUAUGCUGGAUGUGAGAGUUAAUGAAGAAGAUCACUCAUGCUGUUGAAAGUACACAAGCAGUCACUGUUAAGGUCUACCGAAAAACAUGUAGAUAUGUUUGGGAGCCUUUGUUGUAGCCAACAAAUUGUUCCUCAGAAAUUUAUAUUUAGUUCUGGUGAUUGUAAAGCAAUGGCUCUUGAAGUAGUUCCUCAGAAUCUUCUACAGGACAUGUUUUUGACAAAGUCUACAUGACAUAUGACUAAGACAAGACUCAUGCCAUAAGGUUCUCCAAAAUCCUUAUUUCAAGCAGAAAAACCUUUUUACACAACCACCUCAUUUUUCUCCAGUUUGGGGAUGGCAACAGUUCUACUCACAAUGGUGCUGCAUGCUGGAAGUACUCAUUAUCCUGUUGGCUCUACUCUGGGUUCCAUAUUAUGGAGAAGGUGUUCUGGAUGGUCCUAACAAGCUCAUAAACAUGGAUGUGUCUUGCUACCCUCCGGGUGAUGUUCCUAAGAUGGGAACCAAAUGAAGAAUCGGUGAAGGGUACAAGCAAUAAAGAUGAUGCCGGGAACUUGACGACCUCUGAUAGCAAUGUUAUCGGUGCUCCACCUCCAGAGAAAGCAUGUGGAAGAUCAUUUCCUUUGUUCUCUGAAUUACAUGCACUUUGGUGAACAAAAAGUAUGAUUGGUGUUCCUGGUGAAAAUGAGUGAAGCUAGAAGAUGCUAUGAGAAGGAACUUGCCAAGACUAUUUGAAGAACAGCCUGAUCUCCUGCAUGAGGGGCUCUUUUGUGUGUGCAGGACAAUCCCAACGAUUGUCCAUUCAUUUCAUCCGUCGUGUACAUCUUGGAGAACGGAAGUGCCAAACUUCAUGUCCUAAACCAACCGGUAUAUUCUGCACCUACGAAUAGCAAAGUAGAGCAUGCAACAGGCAAUACUCAAAAUUCAAAGAAUAUGCCAACUUACAGUUCUAGAGAGAAGAUAGGCCAGUUAUCACAUUACAAGAUAUUUUGUAAAGGGGGGCUCAGAUCAGAUAGUUGCAAAGGUGGUUGGUUAUGGGGGUACAUUCCAUUUCACAGCUCCAUUAGGCUUUGUUCGGUUACACCUCCUCACAGGGGGAUUGGGGUGGAUUAGAGGAGGUUUUGACUUGUGGAGGGUGCAAUCCCUGCCAAACCCCUCCAUUUUCCCUGUCAACCGAACAGGCCCUUAUUCAUGUUGCUAACCCUCUUUCUUUUUAUACUCCAUUGUUCAUGCUCCUAAUUCUCUUUCUUUCUUUUAACCCAUUCAUGUUGCCAAACUUAGUAAGCUGUGAUAAGAUGACAAAGUGAAAUUCCAAAUUACACUAAAUGACAGUAGAAUGCAAGCAUAUUACACUUUGAUAGUAAAUUUGCAUUCGGAUCAGACCAACUACUAGAAAUGUCGAGAUGAUAUCUGCAUGUCCAUUUUAUUUUACUGUAUUUAUUUUGCCUUCCUCUCCCUACUGAAUAAGCAUUGGACCAUUGUCUUACUUAAUUGAUUUGCUUUUGUGGGGCUUCAUUAAACCAACUAAGUAAACAGAUUUAAUUGCCUGCUAUUGAAAAAAGAAGAGUGAAGAUGUUUUUAACUGUUCAUGUACUUUCUGUUUUAUAUGUACUGAGGCUCAUACUCACUCAAACAUUUCAUGUUUGCAUAUAGUCCUUUGUUUUGUUACAGAGAAGGUAUCAUCGUAGUAAAAUAAAAUAAAAUUGAAGGUUGCUUGUGGUUGAUGAAUUUGUAGAAUAAUGUCUACUUUAUUAUAGCAAGACCAUAUUAGGUUAGGCUGCAUAUGUUGCAGUUUUCCGAUAUAGAAUACAUUCUACAUACCAAUAAGCCUGAGGUAUGCCAUUAAUGUCAUAUUUUUUUCAGAUUUUUAUUACUAAAUACAAGGGAGCAUCACUGAUAAUUAAAAUUACAUGUGGUGUUUUAGUUCAGAUUGCAGAGGCCAAACCUGAUGUUACCCCAUUGUUUUGUAAUGUGCAAGUUAAGCUUCUGAUGCUACAUAGUUGGCAUGCAGUAAAAUCUAGCAACCAUUGGUGCAGUGCCAAAUAAAGUAACCACAGCCGGUUUUAUCAACAGAGUCAUAUUUCAAAGGUACCCCUUCGCGUAAGUAUGAAACAGUUCUUCGGCUUAAGAAACUAGAGUCUUAGCUUACUAAAUUAAAUCUUAUUAAUAGCUCAUUUUAUUAGAAAUUCAUGAUUCAGGACCAUCAGAAACGCUUACGUGGUUCAGGAAAGCAUCGAGCAUAUCGUGUAGAGGAUAACACGUGCCAAGGGUUAUCUAAAUUGAGUUGAAUUCGGACUUCCAAUCGUGGUAUUUUCUUUUGACUGUCUAGGUCGGCCGGUGCCAGUUACUAUAUAGCUUGCUCUUCCUAACAAAAGUAACACAAAUUACUAUACCUUGAACUUUGCAACCUUAAUAUGGAGGUCAUGAAACAACAUUAUCCAACUGCAGGUAUGGGUCAGAGGUAGUUUAUACUUGUGGAAAGAAAACUCAAGAAGUAACAUGGCUAUUUUAUAACAUUAUAAAAGGCUUUGCAGCAUUGAAUCUUAACCUGAUGAAAAGGUGCGAUUUAAAAUGGUAAAGAGUCGCAAAAAUGAUUGAGGCGUCUGACGAGAGGGCCAAGAAAAAUAACGUAUAAGCUGUGUAGACAAUACAUGCACAUGGGUAGUUAUCUUGAGGGCUUCAGACAAAUAGGCCCAGUAGGGAUCAAAUCUCUUUGGCCGUGCAAGCCUUACUGCCUUAGAAACAAGCUUGCUGAGUUUUUUGUCAUAGAGGAUCUACUUCCAAUUCUGUACCUGUUGUUACAUCUCUGAUUGCCAUGUUCUCUAUGAAAUGAAAUCGAUUUUCAUUGUUGCUUACAAACUUUGUCUAGUUUUGUUAGGAACAUCACAAUUUUCAUCGGUAAUAUAUUCAGUAAAACAUACAUGUAUGCAUGAAAAUUACUUAUAUAUUCCUUGGACAAGAUGCUCAGAGUUUUAUCAAUUUUGUUGAUGCUUCCAGAAAAACAGGUACAGGUUCUUCUGUUCACAUUCUUUGAUCUUCAAUUUCACCUGAUCUUUCUUUGCAGAGAUAUAUAUUUUGUCGUAGAAGUUGCUAUUCCAUCAGUUGGCAAGUUAGUGAUUUUAUUUAGAGAAAGCGCGGCCUGGCCAGAAUGAAGCCGAGGGCAUUGACCAUGAUGCUGUUGCUAGGAUGGACUUCAGAGGGUUUGGCACAUCGGAGAAGUGCAUUCCGCUUUAGGUGGGAUCUUUUGGUCCAAUCCAAUAGAUGGCUGUUAGCUCUUUGGUACAUGCACUUGGAUCUCAGGAUAGCGCCAGGCAUAGCUCUAUGAUGCAAACCUAUUGGAGUGAAUAAACUCUGUUGUGAUGAACGGUGUUCUUGUUGUAAAUUGGCGGUCAUCUGAAAACAUUUCAUCUUUGAGAAGUAUGAUAACUAUCACUCACAUGUUUGCCUCGGGUACAAGAAAGCAAUCGAAGUACUCUGUUUCUCGA
Aegilops tauschii subsp. strangulata is the source of this 5620-nucleotide RNA transcript. RefSeq lists it as uncharacterized. The record is from RefSeq and is a predicted model, not a curated record. NCBI's taxonomy places the organism in Eukaryota, Viridiplantae, Streptophyta, Magnoliopsida, Poales, Poaceae.